CUAGCGACUUCAGAGUUUGAUCCUGGCUCAGAGUGAACGCUGGCGGCGUGCCUAAUACAUGCAAGUCGAACGGACGAGUAAGAGCUUGCUCUUAUGAGUUAGUGGCGCACGGGUGAGUAAUGUAUAGUUAAUCUGCCCUACACUGGAGGACAACAGUUAGAAAUGACUGCUAAUACUCCAUACUCCUUCUUAACACAAAUUAAGUCGGGAAAGUUUUUCGGUGUAGGAUGAGACUAUAUUGUAUCAGCUAGUUGGUGAGGUAAUGGCUCACCAAGGCUAUGACGCAUAACUGGUCUGAGAGGAUGAUCAGUCACACUGGAACUGAGACACGGUCCAG
Molecule: ribosomal RNA, 337 nt
Filed under: uncultured bacterium
Lineage: Bacteria
Description: bacterial SSU rRNA
Rfam family: Bacterial small subunit ribosomal RNA
Source: RNAcentral